This 97-nucleotide signal recognition particle RNA is filed under the name Candidatus Desulfatifera sulfidica. RNAcentral describes it as "signal recognition particle sRNA small type". It matches the Rfam family "Bacterial small signal recognition particle RNA". Rfam says of the family: The signal recognition particle (SRP) is a universally conserved ribonucleoprotein involved in the co-translational targeting of proteins to membranes. The record is from RNAcentral. Lineage: Bacteria; Pseudomonadati; Thermodesulfobacteriota; Desulfobulbia; Desulfobulbales; Desulfobulbaceae.
AGCCGGGUCCUAUACAACAGCGGAUCAUGAACUCCGCCAGGUCCGGAAGGAAGCAACGGCAAUGACCACCUCUGUGUGUACAGGGUGCCCGGCUAUC